RNAcentral lists this ribosomal RNA (303 nucleotides) under Pseudomonas sp. BC1_KBA5. Its description in RNAcentral is "bacterial SSU rRNA". It matches the Rfam family "Bacterial small subunit ribosomal RNA", at positions 1075 to 1377 of the family's 1533-position model. Lineage: Bacteria; Pseudomonadati; Pseudomonadota; Gammaproteobacteria; Pseudomonadales; Pseudomonadaceae. The record is from RNAcentral.
UUGGGUUAAGUCCCGUAACGAGCGCAACCCUUGUCCUUAGUUACCAGCACGUCAUGGUGGGCACUCUAAGGAGACUGCCGGUGACAAACCGGAGGAAGGUGGGGAUGACGUCAAGUCAUCAUGGCCCUUACGGCCUGGGCUACACACGUGCUACAAUGGUCGGUACAGAGGGUUGCCAAGCCGCGAGGUGGAGCUAAUCCCAGAAAACCGAUCGUAGUCCGGAUCGCAGUCUGCAACUCGACUGCGUGAAGUCGGAAUCGCUAGUAAUCGCGAAUCAGAAUGUCGCGGUGAAUACGUUCCCGG